Molecule: ribosomal RNA, 422 nt
Filed under: uncultured bacterium
Lineage: Bacteria
Description: bacterial SSU rRNA
Rfam family: Bacterial small subunit ribosomal RNA
Source: RNAcentral
UAAGGAAUAUUGGUCAAUGGACGAAAGUCUGAACCAGCCAUGCCGCGUGGAGGAUGAAGGUCCUCUGGAUUGUAAACUUCUUUUAUAUGGGACGAAAAAAGGGUUUUCUAACUCGUCUGACGGUACCAUAUGAAUAAGCACCGGCUAACUCCGUGCCAGCAGCCGCGGUAAUACGGAGGGUGCAAGCGUUAUCCGGAUUCACUGGGUUUAAAGGGUGCGUAGGUGGGUUGGUAAGUCAGUGGUGAAAUCUCCGAGCUUAACUUGGAAACUGCCAUUGAUACUAUCAGUCUUGAAUAUUGUGGAGGUCAGCGGAAUAUGUCAUGUAGCGGUGAAAUGCUUAGAUAUGACAUAGAACACCAAUUGCGAAGGCAGCUGGCUACACAUCUAUUGACACUGAGGCACGAAAGCGUGGGGAUCAAACA